RNAcentral lists this ribosomal RNA (497 nucleotides) under uncultured bacterium. RNAcentral describes it as "partial 16S ribosomal RNA". It matches the Rfam family "Bacterial small subunit ribosomal RNA", at positions 28 to 507 of the family's 1533-position model. The record is from RNAcentral.
GAUGAACGCUGGCGGCGUGCCUAAUACAUGCAAGUCGAGCGAACGGACGAGAAGCUUGCUUCUCUGAUGUUAGCGGCGGACGGGUGAGUAACACGUGGAUAACCUACCUAUAAGACUGGGAUAACUUCGGGAAACCGUAGCUAAUACCGGAUAAUAUUUUGAACCGCAUGGUUCAAAAGUGAAAGACGGUCUUGCUGUCACUUAUAGAUGGAUCCGCGCUGCAUUAGCUAGUUGGUAAGGUAACGGCUUACCAAGGCAACGAUGCAUAGCCGACCUGAGAGGGUGAUCGGCCACACUGGAACUGAGACACGGUCCAGACUCCUACGGGAAGCAGCAGUAGGGAAUCUUCCGCAAAGGGCGAAAGCCUGACGGAGCAACGCCGCGUGAGUGAUGAAGGUCUUCGGAUCGUAAAACUCUGUUAUUAGGGAAGAACAUAUGUGUAAGUAACUGUGCACAUCUUGACGGUACCUAAUCAGAAAGCCACGGCUAACUACGUG